This 455-nucleotide ribosomal RNA is filed under the name uncultured bacterium. RNAcentral's name for it is "bacterial SSU rRNA". It matches the Rfam family "Bacterial small subunit ribosomal RNA", at positions 355 to 825 of the family's 1533-position model. The record is from RNAcentral.
UCGAGAAUCUUCGGCAAUGAGCGCAAGCUUGACCGAGCGACGCCGCGUGCGGGAUGAAGGCCUUCGGGUUGUAAACCGCUUUGGUCCGAAAGAAAGGGUAAAACUUGAUCGAUCGGAGAAACAAGGACGGGCUAAGUUCGUGCCAGCAGCCGCGGUAAGACGAACCGUCCAAACGUUAUUCGGAAUCACUGGGCUUAAAGGGCGCGUAGGCGGCCGAGCGGGUCGUGGGUGAAAUCCUCCAGCUUAACUGGAGAACUGCUUACGAUACCACUGCGGCUCGAGGAAGGAAGGGGUCAUGGGAACUGUCGGUGGAGCGGUGAAAUGCGUUGAUAUCGACAGGAACGCCUGUGGCGAAAGCGCAUGACUGGUCCUUUUCUGACGCUGAGGCGCGAAAGCCAGGGGAGCAAACGGGAUUAGAUACCCUUGUAGUCCCUGAGCGGGCUGGCAAGGCGCAU